Molecule: ribosomal RNA, 654 nt
Filed under: uncultured Actinomycetes bacterium
Lineage: Bacteria; Bacillati; Actinomycetota; Actinomycetes
Description: bacterial SSU rRNA
Rfam family: Bacterial small subunit ribosomal RNA
Source: RNAcentral
CUAGAUUCGCGGCCUAUCAGCUUGUUGGUGGGGUAAUGGCCUACCAAGGCUUCGACGGGUAGCCGGCCUGAGAGGGUGACCGGCCACACUGGGACUGAGACACGGCCCAGACUCCUACGGGAGGCAGCAGUGGGGAAUAUUGGACAAUGGGCGGAAGCCUGAUCCAGCAACGCCGCGUGAGGGAUGACGGCCUUCGGGUUGUAAACCUCUUUCAGUACCGACGAAGCGAGAGUGACGGUAGGUACAGAAGAAGCACCGGCCAACUACGUGCCAGCAGCCGCGGUAAUACGUAGGGUGCGAGCGUUGUCCGGAAUUAUUGGGCGUAAAGGGCUCGUAGGCGGUUUGUCGCGUCGGGAGUGAAAACACCGGGCUUAACUCGGUGCUUGCUUUCGAUACGGGCAGACUAGAGGCAUGCAGGGGAGAACGGAAUUCCUGGUGUAGCGGUGAAAUGCGCAGAUAUCAGGAGGAACACCGGUGGCGAAGGCGGUUCUCUGGGCAUGUCCUGACGCUGAGGAGCGAAAGUGUGGGGAGCGAACAGGAUUAGAUACCCUGGUAGUCCACACCGUAAACGUUGGGCGCUAGGUGUGGGGCCUAUUCCAUGGGUUCCGUGCCGCAGCUAACGCAUUAAGCGCCCCGCCUGGGGAGUACGGAUCG